Small nuclear RNA from Grammomys surdaster, 106 nucleotides. The record is from RefSeq and is a predicted model, not a curated record. NCBI's taxonomy places the organism in Eukaryota, Metazoa, Chordata, Mammalia, Rodentia, Muridae.
GUGCUGGCUUUGGCAGCACGUAUACUAAAAUUGGAAUAAUACAGAAAAGAUUAGUGUAGCCCUGCACAGGGUUGACAUGCACAUUUGUGAAGUGUUCUACAGUUUC